GUAGGUGGUUAUAUAAGUGAAUAGUGAAAGCUGGCGGCUCAACCGUACGGACUAUUAUUCAAACUGUAUAACUCGAGAAUGGUAGAGGUUACUGGAAUUUCUUGUGUAGGAGUGAAAUCCGUAGAUAUAAGAAGGGAACACCAAUGGCGUAGGCAGGUAACUGGACCAUUUCUGACUCUAAGGCACGAAAGCGUGGGGAGCGAACCGGAUUAGAUACCCGGGUAGUCCACGCCGUAAACGAUGGAUACUAGCUGUUAGGAGUAUCGACCCUUCUAGUAGCGAAGCUAACGCGUUAAGUAUCCCGCCUGUGGAGUACGGUCGCAAGACUAAAACAUAAAGGAAUUGACGGGGACCCGCACAAGCGGUGGAUCGUGUUCUUUAAUUCGAUGCUAAACGAAAAACCUUACCAGGGUUUGACAUCCCGAGAAUUUCUCCGAAAGGAGAGAGUGCUUUAUUGAGCUCGGUGACAGAUGAUGCAUGGCCGUCGUCAGCUCGUGUCGUGAGAUGUUUGGUUAAGUCCAUUAACGAGCGCAACCCUUAUAGUCUGUUGUAUUUUUCAGGCUAGACUGCCCCGUUAACGGGGAGGAAGGAGGGGAUGAGGUCAGGUCAGUAUUUCUCUUACAUCCUGGGCUAGAAACACGAUACAAUGGCUAGUACAAUGCGCAGCGAAGCCGCGAGGUGGAGCAAAUCGCAUCAAAGCUAGUCCCAGUUCGGAUUGGAGGCUGAAACUCGCCUCCAUGAAGUCGGAAUCGCUAGUAAUCGCAAAUCAGCAAGUUGCGGUGAAUACGUUCCCGGGUCUUGUACACACCGCCCGUCAAACCAUGAAAGUGACCAACACCCGAAGUCCGAUUCGUCGGCCUAAGGUGGGGGGCAUGAUUGGGGUU
Molecule: ribosomal RNA, 884 nt
Filed under: uncultured Candidatus Saccharibacteria bacterium
Lineage: Bacteria; Candidatus Saccharimonadota
Description: bacterial SSU rRNA
Rfam family: Bacterial small subunit ribosomal RNA
Source: RNAcentral